GACGAACGCUGGCGGCGUGCUUAACACAUGCAAGUCGAACGCUGAAGCUCAGCUUUUGUUGGGUGGAUGAGUGGCGAACGGGUGAGUAACACGUGAGUAACCUGCCUCCUUCUUUGGGAUAACGCCCGGAAACGGGUGCUAAUACUGGAUAUUCACUGGUCUUCGCAUGGGGGUUGGUGGAAAGGGUUUUUCGGGUGGGGGAUGGGCUCGCGGCCUAUCAGCUUGUUGGUGGGGUGAUGGCCUACCAAGGCUUUGACGGGUAGCCGGCCUGAGAGGGUGACCGGUCACAUUGGGACUGAGAUACGGCCCAGACUCCUACGGGAGGCAGCAGUGGGGAAUAUUGCACAAUGGGCGCAAGCCUGAUGCAGCGACGCCGCGUGAGGGAUGGAGGCCUUCGGGUUGUGAACCUCUUUCGCUCAUGGUCAAGCCGCAACAAUGGUUGUGGUGAGGGUAGUGGGUAAAGAAGCGCCGGCUAACUACGUG
This 483-nucleotide ribosomal RNA is filed under the name uncultured bacterium. Its description in RNAcentral is "partial 16S ribosomal RNA". It matches the Rfam family "Bacterial small subunit ribosomal RNA", at positions 28 to 507 of the family's 1533-position model. The record is from RNAcentral.